Molecule: long non-coding RNA, 321 nt
Filed under: Elaeis guineensis (African oil palm)
Lineage: Eukaryota; Viridiplantae; Streptophyta; Magnoliopsida; Arecales; Arecaceae
Description: long non-coding RNA (EGUI_LNC082398)
Source: RNAcentral
AUUUGUUGGCUAGAAUCACUGGGUAGGUUUAUGUUAAUGGUUGGACCUAAUCAAAACUUUCAGUGGAGGUCCAUCACCUAUUGAAAUAAAAUCUGAGGCUAAAUUAAAUACUAGAAGUUGUUUGGAGAAAAAAUUAGUUAAGAACCUACCCAUGGAUGCAUAUGGGUUGAUCGAGCCAUCCUUGGGCUUAUAUGCAGUCUAUGUGGAUUCUAGUACCCACUAAGAAAUUAAGAUAAUUCUUCGAAUUGAAGAUAGAGGCUACCAAUUUGUAUAAAAUAGUGAGAGAACCUUUAAACUGAAGACCAAGUCUUUAGGCUUAAA